ACGCACGCUGGCGGCGUGCUUCACACAUGCAAGUCGCACGGAAAGGCCCUGCUUUUGUGGGGUGCUCGAGUGGCGAACGGGUGAGUAACACGUGAGUAACCUGCCCUUGACUUUGGGAUAACUUCAGGAAACUGGGGCUAAUACCGGAUAGGAGCUCCUGCUGCAUGGUGGGGGUUGGAAAGUUUCGGCGGUUGGGGAUGGACUCGCGGCUUAUCAGCUUGUUGGUGGGGUAGUGGCUUACCAAGGCUUUGACGGGUAGCCGGCCUGAGAGGGUGACCGGCCACAUUGGGACUGAGAUACGGCCCAGACUCCUACGGGAGGCAGCAGUGGGGAAUAUUGCACAAUGGGCGGAAGCCCGAUGCAGCAACGCCGCGUGCGGGAUGACGGCCUUCGGGUUGUAAACCGCUUUCGCCUGUGACGAAGCGUGAGUGGCGGUAAUGGGUAAAGAAGCACCGGCUAACUACGUG
This 467-nucleotide ribosomal RNA is filed under the name uncultured bacterium. Its description in RNAcentral is "partial 16S ribosomal RNA". It matches the Rfam family "Bacterial small subunit ribosomal RNA", at positions 29 to 507 of the family's 1533-position model. The record is from RNAcentral.